UAACACUAGAACGUUCCUUACGACGUAAGUAUCACUAUAUCGCCUCUCUUUUUCUUUGUAGUUGAAGUUUUGGAAGGUACUUCAUAGUUAAGAAAAUGUCUAAAUUUUGUAUUCAAGCUUUAAAUAUCAAGGAAGGCUGAUAGAUUUAUUUCCUAAUAGUUAGAAUUCACGGGAUAAUGAUCGAAAGCCGUGAGUUCAAGUUAUUCGACUUGUAGUGUACUAUUUUUUGGGAUGUGGCUAUAUAUAUGAUUUGUUGUGGCUGG
This 263-nucleotide long non-coding RNA is filed under the name Nicotiana benthamiana. Its description in RNAcentral is "long non-coding RNA (NBEN_LNC010475)". Lineage: Eukaryota; Viridiplantae; Streptophyta; Magnoliopsida; Solanales; Solanaceae. The record is from RNAcentral.